This 433-nucleotide ribosomal RNA is filed under the name uncultured bacterium. Its description in RNAcentral is "partial 16S ribosomal RNA". It matches the Rfam family "Bacterial small subunit ribosomal RNA", at positions 29 to 507 of the family's 1533-position model. The record is from RNAcentral.
AACGAACGCUGGCGGCAGGCCUAACACAUGCAAGUCGAGCGAGACCUUCGGGUCUAGCGGCGGACGGGUGAGUAACGCGUGGGAACGUGCCCUUUUCUACGGAAUAGCCUCGGGAAACUGAGCGUAAUACCGUAUACGCCCUUUGGGGGAAAGAUUUAUCGGAGAAGGAUCGGCCCGCGUUGGAUUAGGUAGUUGGUGGGGUAAUGGCCUACCAAGCCUACGAUCCAUAGCUGGUUUGAGAGGAUGAUCAGCCACACUGGGACUGAGACACGGCCCAGACUCCUACGGGAGGCAGCAGUGGGGAAUCUUAGACAAUGGGGGCAACCCUGAUCUAGCCAUGCCGCGUGAGUGAUGAAGGCCUUAGGGUUGUAAAGCUCCUUCAGCUGGGAAGAUAAUGACGGUACCAGCAGAAGAAGCCCCGGCUAACUCCGUG